This is a long non-coding RNA of Silurus meridionalis, 951 nucleotides long. RefSeq lists it as uncharacterized. Lineage: Eukaryota; Metazoa; Chordata; Actinopteri; Siluriformes; Siluridae. The transcript has 4 exons. The record is from RefSeq and is a predicted model, not a curated record.
CCCUUGUACUCUCAAACUGGCAUGUAGUGACAUCAGCAGUGGCUGGCACAUGCUAGCCAAAGAGUGCUAACCACCCACUCAGUGCAGCUAUGAGCUUAAAAAUAUAUCAAUGACAAAUGGAGACAUAAAGACGAAGACAGAUCCUAAUGCUUUCGUUGCUUCGUUCAAGGACCUCAAUUACAAGAGAUUAUUGAGCUCUAAAACAUCUAAAUUCAAAGACACCCUCAAAGUAGACGCAGACAGGAAGUGACUGUAUUUGCAUCUUGAGCCAUUUAUACCUGCUUCGCUGUUCGUUUUUCUGUCAGCUUCAAGAACCUGUGCAACCAUAGCUUUACGCAGAAGCAGCACAAACGUUUGCCUCCCCAAGAAGAUCGGUCUGUUUAUUUUCUGUUUCCUAGCUGGUAUGGAAACUAAUAACACACAUCUCAGCACCAGCUUGCAUUAUGACUUGCAGAACGAAACCAAAGCUCCAACUAGUGCGCCACCUGCUGAGAGGUGUUUUAUUGAGCCUCAGCAAGCAUUCAUAAUAAUUGCUACAUUUGGGAGUCUCAUGCUUGCCCUGAUAAUAUCGGUCAUGGUGCUAGCAUAUAAGGUCAUCGUUUUAAAGCGACGGUGCCAGGCCAGACGCCCGACCCACAGUAAAGUGGAUGUGAGAGGAUCGGGUCACUGGAGCAAUGAACAAGCAGAGGGAGGCAUUGUAGGUCCAUGUGAGACCAACGUCCUGCUAGAGGAAGUUCGGACAGAAGCAGACGAUGCAGUGGAGCAGGAUGAAGAAGAGGAGGAUAUGUUGCAUCAAAGCAACACCAAAAACAUAGAUGAAGAAAAUGUCAUGACCACCAUUCAAAGCUCCACAUCCAGAGAUUCAUGCAUAGAUCCUACUAAGGAACUGGAGAACAUGCCUUUGGUAGUGUGAGCUUGCUCAUGUCUUCCCCUUAAAUAAUUAAUGUUAAC